AAUGAGAGCUGAGGACGUCAUUUUCGUCGCGUCCAAACAGAGUGAAGCUGCUGAAGAUGAGCACCUGUGCGUCUCAGCUUCAAACCCGUAAGGGUGCGUUCGAGGACGGCGUGAGAAGAUCGAAAUCAAGACGCCAGUAAGAACUCUGACGCGUUAGUCAUUUGUGAUAUUGGCCUGAUAAUAAAAGCAGAGAAGCACAAAACACUCCGGAGACGGAGGCAGGCAGGACGACACGCAGCGCUGAGAGCUGCCUGUUCCCGGCAGCAGCAGCAGCAGCAGCAGCGGGGACAGAGACGCAGCCUGGCGGCCUUCACAGACCAGCUGAGUGCUGAUCAACACACAGAUAAAUCCCUUUUCUUUAGGGACACCAUAAAAUCACCUGAAGGAAUGUGAGUGUGAGCGGCGGGUUUACAGUGACCUGACUUCUGUCUCCAGUGGAACGAGUGUUUGGGAAACAUAAUUAUUCCUGGCCCUGUGCGUGAACUCGGAGGCUUUUAAUGCAUUUUUAUUUAUUCAUUUUUUACCGUCAGAACGAACUGUGAUAUAUUUGUUAAAAUUCCUGUAAUAAAUCUUUGCAUGAAAUAA
Acanthopagrus latus (yellowfin seabream) is the source of this 585-nucleotide long non-coding RNA. RefSeq lists it as uncharacterized. NCBI's taxonomy places the organism in Eukaryota, Metazoa, Chordata, Actinopteri, Spariformes, Sparidae. The transcript is spliced from 2 exons. The record is from RefSeq and is a predicted model, not a curated record.